Desulfobacteraceae bacterium IS3 is the source of this 47-nucleotide non-coding RNA. The record is from Rfam. NCBI's taxonomy places the organism in Bacteria, Pseudomonadati, Thermodesulfobacteriota, Desulfobacteria, Desulfobacterales, Desulfobacteraceae.
CCCGGCAAUAAAUUGCCGGGCUAUUUUCAUAACGUCCCUACGGGACU